Molecule: ribosomal RNA, 882 nt
Filed under: uncultured Candidatus Saccharibacteria bacterium
Lineage: Bacteria; Candidatus Saccharimonadota
Description: bacterial SSU rRNA
Rfam family: Bacterial small subunit ribosomal RNA
Source: RNAcentral
GUAGGCGGUUUACCAAGCAAGGCAUGAAAUAGUGUGGCUCAACCAUACUGCUAUGUUUUGAACUGGUAGACUAGAGGAUGAGAGAGGUUAUUGGAAUUCCAAGUGUAGGAGUGAAAUCCGUAGAUAUUUGGAGGAACACCGAUGGCGUAGGCAGAUAACUGGCUCAUUCCUGACGCUCAGGCACGAAAGCGUGGGUAGCAAACGGGAUUAGAUACCCCGGUAGUCCACGCCGUAAACUAUGGAUGCUAGCUGUACACCGUAUCGACCCGGUGUGUAGCGAAGCUAACGCGUUAAGCAUCCCGCCUGUGGAGUACGAGCGCAAGCUUAAAACAUAAAGGAAUUGACGGGGACCCGCACAAGCGGUGGAGCGUGUUGUUUAAUUCGAUGAUAACCGAAGAACCUUACCAGGGCUUGACAUCCAGGGAAGGACUACGAAAGUAGUUUGUGCCUUUUGGAACCCUGUGACAGGUGAUGCAUGGCCGUCGUCAGCUCGUGUCGUGAGAUGUUAGGUUAAGUCCUUCAACGAGCGCAACCCUUGCAAGUAGUUGUAUUUUUCUACUUGGACUGCCCCGGUAACGGGGAGGAAGGAGGGGAUGAUGUCAGGUCAGUAUUUCCCUUACGUCCUGGGCUAGAAACGUAAUACAAUGGCAAGUACAAUGCGCAGCGAAGCCGCGAGGUGAAGCAAAUCGCAUCAAAGCUUGUCCCAGUUCGGAUUGGAGGCUGAAACUCGCCUCCAUGAAGUCGGAAUCGCUAGUAAUCGCAGAUCAGCAAGCUGCGGUGAAUACGUUCCCGGGUCUUGUACACACCGCCCGUCAAACCAUGAAAGUGACCAACACCCGAAGUCCGAUUCGUCGGCCUAAGGUGGGGGGCAUGAUUGGGGUU